RNAcentral lists this long non-coding RNA (913 nucleotides) under Salmo salar (Atlantic salmon). RNAcentral describes it as "lncRNA (ENSSSAG00000102756.1)". The record is from RNAcentral. Lineage: Eukaryota; Metazoa; Chordata; Actinopteri; Salmoniformes; Salmonidae.
GGAGGUAUAUCAGAAUGUAGAAGGUAUAAUAGAAUGUAGGUGGUAUAAUAGAAUGUAGGAGGUAUAUCAGAAUGUAGGAAGUAUAAUAGAAUGUGGGUGGUAUAAUAGAAUGUAGGAGGUAUAAUAUAAUGUAGGAGGUAUAAUAGAAUGUAGGUGGUAUAAUAGAAUGUAGGAGGUAUAUCAGAAUGUAGGAGGUAUAAUAGAAUGUAGGAGGUAUAAUAGAAUGUAGGAGGUAUGUCAGAAUAUAGGAGGUAUAAUAGAAUGUAGGAGGCAUAUCAGAAUGUAGGAGGUAUAUCAGAAUGUAGAAUGUAUAAUAGAAUGUAGAAAGUAUAAUAGAAUGUAGUAGGUAGUGUAAAGGGUCCUAUGUGUGGCUGGUGUAGAGAGUCAGGCGCAGGACAGCAGAUAUGAGUAAUCAACGUACUUUUACUUAUAAUGUCAAAUAUACAAAGUAACAAAUACACGCACACCAUGACAGACCGAAAAUACAAUAAACAAUCACUCACAAAAACCCAUGGGGGAACAGAGGGUUAAAUAAUGAAACAGUAAUUGUGGGAUUGAAAUCAGGUGUGUAAAACAAAGACAAAACAAAUGGAAAAUGAAAAGUGGAUCGGCGGUGGCUAGAAAGCCGGUGAUUUCGACCGCCAACCGCCGUCCGAACAACGAGAGGGACCGACUUGUGCAUUCAGAAAGUAUUCAGAACCUUUCCCUUUUCCACAUUUUGUUACGUUACUGUCACAAGUAUCUUCGUCUUCUGACGAUAAUGCGAAAUCGUCAUCAGAAAAGGUAGAUCAAUACGCAGCAGGUGUGCAGUUGUUCAUUUUGAACAUUUAAUUAAAUCAACACGAAUACAAAAACAACAAACAAGAAAACGAACGAUAAACUGACAGUCUGCAAAGCAUAGGCUCAACACAGA